Molecule: non-coding RNA, 113 nt
Organism: Acanthosepion pharaonis
Lineage: Eukaryota; Metazoa; Mollusca; Cephalopoda; Sepiida; Sepiidae
Source: the annotation of a GenBank genome assembly
GACGCUCAUCUCAUAGUGAAAUACCGGUUCCCGUACGAUCACUAAAGUUAAGCAACGUCGAGCCUGUUAUGUACCAAGAUGGGUAACCGCGUGGAAAUACCAAGUGCUGUAAG